GUGUUCACUUUGGCAGCACAUAUAUUAAAAUUGGAACAAUACAAAGAUUAUCAUGGCCUCUGCACAAGGAUGACAUGCAAAUUCAUGAAGUGUUUCAAUAUUUC
Phyllostomus discolor (pale spear-nosed bat) is the source of this 104-nucleotide small nuclear RNA. Lineage: Eukaryota; Metazoa; Chordata; Mammalia; Chiroptera; Phyllostomidae. The record is from RefSeq and is a predicted model, not a curated record.